This 497-nucleotide ribosomal RNA is filed under the name uncultured bacterium. Its description in RNAcentral is "partial 16S ribosomal RNA". It matches the Rfam family "Bacterial small subunit ribosomal RNA", at positions 38 to 507 of the family's 1533-position model. The record is from RNAcentral.
GGGGGGGGGGGGGGGGGGGGCGAGGGCGGGGGGGGCGGGCUCGCGGGCGAGAGGCGGGGGGGGCGGGGGGGAGCGGCGGACGGGUGAGUAACGCGGUGGUAAGCCACCGAUCCGACUGGGAGGACUUCGUGACGCCGUAGUUGACAGCGGAGACUGUUUUUAACCGCAUGAUUCCCAACUGAAAGACGGUCUGGCUGUCCGUUCUCGCUGCAUCUGCGCUGCAUUAGCUAGUUGGUAAGGUAACGGCUUACUAAGGCAACGAUGCAUAGCCGACCUGAGAGGGUGAUCGGCCACACUGGAACUGAGCCACGGUCCAGACUCCUACGGGAGGCAGCAGGAGGGAAUCUUCCGCAAUGGGCGAAAGCCUGACGGAGCAACGCCGCGUGAGUGAUGAAGGUCUUCGGAUCGUAAAACUCUGUUAUUAGGGAAGAACAUAUGUGUAAGUAACUGUGCACAGCUUGACGGUACCUAAACAGAAAGCCACGGCUAACUACGUG